Molecule: long non-coding RNA, 219 nt
Filed under: Vigna radiata
Lineage: Eukaryota; Viridiplantae; Streptophyta; Magnoliopsida; Fabales; Fabaceae
Description: long non-coding RNA (VRAD_LNC005701)
Source: RNAcentral
CACGAAGAAAACUAUAAAUAUAAGUCAAAAGUAAGAGGUAGGCAGACACAUUUAAUGCACACAUUUGUUUCACUCUCUAUCUCUACCUUUAAUAAAAAGAUUAAAAACUGACUUUAGCGUCGGAGUGCCUUUAGCAGGUACCGGACUUCACAUAACAGCUUGAUUAAGGACCCUCAAACAACCGGACAAGUGAGGUACAGAACCGAAGAAGAUCCGGAG